This 253-nucleotide ribosomal RNA is filed under the name uncultured bacterium. RNAcentral describes it as "partial 16S ribosomal RNA". It matches the Rfam family "Bacterial small subunit ribosomal RNA", at positions 524 to 776 of the family's 1533-position model. The record is from RNAcentral.
UACAGAGACUGCAAGCGUUAUUCGGAUUCACUGGGCGUAAAGGGUGCGCAGGCGGCCAAGUGUGUGAGGCGUGAAAGCCCGGGGCUUAACCCCGGAAUUGCACCUCAAACUACAUGGCUAGAGCAUUGGAGAGGGUAGCAGAAUUCAUGGUGUAGCAGUGAAAUGCGUAGAUAUCAUGAGGAAUACCAGAGGCGAAGGCGGCUACCUGGACAAUUGCUGACGCUCAGGCACGAAAGCGUGGGGAGCAAAGGGG